RNAcentral lists this unclassified non-coding RNA (337 nucleotides) under soil metagenome. RNAcentral describes it as "partial contains 5.8S ribosomal RNA, internal transcribed spacer 2, and large subunit ribosomal RNA". The stretch from base 5 to 121 matches the Rfam family "5.8S ribosomal RNA", at positions 38 to 154 of the family's 154-position model. The record is from RNAcentral.
GAUGGAAGAACGCAGCGAAAUGCGAUAAGUAAUGUGAAUUGCAGAAUUCAGUGAAUCAUCGAAUCUUUGAACGCACAUUGCGCCCGCCAGUAUUCUGGCGGGCAUGCCUGUUCGAGCGUCAUUUCAACCAUCAAGCCCCCGGCUUGUGUUGGGGACCUGCGGCUGCCGCAGGCCCUGAAAAGCAGUGGCGGGCUCGCUGUCACACCGAGCGUAGUAGCAUACAUCUCGCUCUGGGCGUGCUGCGGGUUCCGGCCGUUAAACCACCUUCAUAACCCAAGGUUGACCUCGGAUCAGGUAGGAAGACCCGCUGAACUUAAGCAUAUCAAUAAGCGGAGGA